UACGUAGGGGGCAAGCGUUGUUCGGAAUUACUGGGCGUAAAGGGCGCGUAGGCGGCACAGCAAGUCGGGAGUGAAAGCCCGGGGCUCAACCCCGGAAUGGCUUUCGAAACUGCCGAGCUAGAGUACAGAAGGGGCAACCGGAAUUCCCAGUGUAGCGGUGAAAUGCGUAGAUAUUGGGAAGAACACCUGAGGCGAAGGCGGGUUGCUGGGCUGAUACUGACGCUGAGGCGCGAAAGCCAGGGGAGCAAACGGG
This 253-nucleotide ribosomal RNA is filed under the name uncultured bacterium. Its description in RNAcentral is "partial 16S ribosomal RNA". It matches the Rfam family "Bacterial small subunit ribosomal RNA", at positions 524 to 776 of the family's 1533-position model. The record is from RNAcentral.